GCAGAGAGUAUGAGCAGUGGGAGCCCAGCAUAGAAAUCCUAAGUUCAAGGUUUGGCACCGGCUCAGCAGGUGACUAUCAAGCUUGGAUGUUCUGUUCUGCAGUUACCUAAUAUCUCGCAAUGAGAAAGGUUUGCGUCCAGCGAUGGAGGAAAGGUCACAGAACAAUCUGCAGCAGGUGAAAUGAAACCGCAGAGCCUCCAGAGAGCACAUGAACCAGUAAGUCCCUCCUCACCUGAGAAGGCUAUGAGACUAAGCCUGGUCUGGAAAUGCAAAUAACAUGCUCGAGUACAGCAAGAACAACAGCACUGGCUUUGGGUUUUGGUGCAACGAUAGGGGACCCUUAAGGCAGAAAUGAGGCUUACCUGGUGACAUGCUGGACAGUGCUGUACCAUCCCACUGGUUCAGAAUGGAGGAAAAACGUUGAAGCUGGUCAUACUCUGGAUAGAAAACCAGUCUCUGGGCUCCUGUCCCUCUGCCCUCCCCCUGCUUUACCUGUGUCACCAAAACUCUCCGGGGACAGCAACACCUACCUCCCAUGCCACCGUGAUGAUUAAAUGUGAAAACACAUAUGAAAGGUCUUCGUAAACUCUAAAGUGCUUUAUACAUGGAAAAUAGAAUUAAUAUCUGUGGAGGAGGGAGAAAUAGAGGGGCACCUUGAAGAAUGAAUAGGUGCUACGUAAGUGGAGAGCUGUGUGCCUGCCUGUCAAGGAAGUAAGCACUUUAUAAAAGUCAACUCAUAACGUCAGGCAGGGACUAUUAUUAUUCCCAUUCUACAGAUGAGGAAACUGAAUUCCAAAAAGUUUAAGUAACUUGAUCAAGGCCACCUCGUUGGUAAAUAGUAAAGUUUGGACUCACACCGAGGAAGUCUGGCUACAAAAUUUGUGCUCUUAACCAAUAUGCUCUUCUGCCUCCCUCAUUGAAAAAAAAAAUGUUUGUAAUUCAAUUUGAUUCCAAUCAAUACAUGGCUUGAGUGCCAGACUGGGCACUGGCUGUGUAAUGAUGAAGACAGUCCAUGCUCUCCAGAAGCAUAAGCAAAUAAGAAAAUACUCCAAAGAAUAAGGAAAUAAGAUACUACAAAUAUGACUGGCACUGGAAUAAUGUAAAGAAGAAUGUGGAAAUGGAAAAGAGGAGGAGUGUUCCAGUGGCCGUGCAUUUAACAGAGUAGAGAACCAAGCGGGUGGAUAAAGAGCAGUUCAAGGUGAGGCUGAAAAGGUGAUGUUCUGGAGCCUGAUGGUGGAGGGUCCAGAGUGCCAGGCUAAAGUGACAGGGUGUUAGCCUGGAGAGGGUGGGCAACUGUGAAGGAUUUUGGAUCAGGUAAAUAGUAUAUCAAAAAGAGAAUUUUAAGAGACUUAAACUAAUGAAAUAGGAGAAGGACGUUUAUCUGGGAUCAGCACAGUUACUCUAGUCUGUGGAUUGGUAAAGAUAAAUAAAGGUUAAUUUUUCAA
Homo sapiens (human) is the source of this 1445-nucleotide long non-coding RNA. RefSeq lists it as uncharacterized. The transcript is spliced from 2 exons. Lineage: Eukaryota; Metazoa; Chordata; Mammalia; Primates; Hominidae. The record is from RefSeq and is a predicted model, not a curated record.